UGUAUACUGGAGUUAUUGGGCGGCCCUGAGGAGAAGAGACAAAAAGGAGCCUUCCUGAACACGUCCACGGUUGGUUGAAUCCAGAUGCAGAAACUGCGGAUAAGGAGGACCUUCUCUGUACUGUAUUCCGGAAUCUUCUACUUACCAUUCCACUCAAUCAGUCUAUGCCCCAGAGUGAGCUAGAGAAGGCAGCGGAGAAUCUACCAUCCACACAAUUGAUUUCACAGUAAUUAAAAAUCAGUGUUUUUCCUUAAACAUGGCCUCUAGAUACAUGCCAGCUGCCUCAACUCAUACUUAACUGAUGGAAUAUGAUCUGUCUCAGAGACAGAGAGAGGAACAGACUGUGUCAACUUAGAGAAACCAAAUAUACUGAUCUCCAAAGGGACAGCUUCUUAAGCUGUGACCUUAAAAAAUUGUGACCAUACACAAUUUUCAGCCAAUGUGAUGGUUUCCAUCACCUCCCACCUAAGAGAUGACACCAUUAAUGUAUACAAAUUGUUGUAGAAGCUUAGAGAAAGAACCAACUAAUGGGGAAGUUGGAGAAAAUGUCUCAGCAGCGGGGAUAUUCGAGCUGAGUUUUGAAGGAUAAAGAGCAGUUUCCAAAUGAGGAAGAAGUGGGCAAGGACAAGCUAAGUAAAGUUGCCUGAACUGUUGACGGCCACCACUGGCUCUAGAAAAGCCCCUGCUACUUCCUUCUGUCUACUUGAAAGUGCAACAUAAGAUGUUUUCAGAACAAACAGGAGUAUGAAUGGGAAGACUGUGGUUCAGUAUUUCCCAAAGUGUUUGCCAUGGAACUAGUUCUGUGAGAUGCUUCAUUGAAAAGAGAUUCUGAAUAAAAUAAAACAUUCAUUUAACAAAAUAU
This is a long non-coding RNA of Homo sapiens (human), 862 nucleotides long. Lineage: Eukaryota; Metazoa; Chordata; Mammalia; Primates; Hominidae. The record is from Ensembl.